CUCUCCAUGCCAAUAAAUUUUUUUCUCCUUAUAUGUGUGAUAUUUUGAGGAGAUUUUUUAUGGAAGAUCAGUUGGAAAUUAGUUUACAUAAAAAAAUAUAGGAAGGGGCAUCUCAUAUUUUUUUGAUAUGUUUUGGGAUGUAGAAUUGUGAAGGAAGGUAGAAUCCUGUAAGAGUCCAAGAUCACUAGGACUCUUCACCCCACCUCCUUACAUGCCUAUAAAAGGGAUUUUUAUAGUUUCUUUUAUGUAUGUAAGAUA
Molecule: long non-coding RNA, 258 nt
Filed under: Elaeis guineensis (African oil palm)
Lineage: Eukaryota; Viridiplantae; Streptophyta; Magnoliopsida; Arecales; Arecaceae
Description: long non-coding RNA (EGUI_LNC064042)
Source: RNAcentral